RNAcentral lists this long non-coding RNA (509 nucleotides) under Cyanistes caeruleus (blue tit). RNAcentral's name for it is "lncRNA (ENSCCEG00000004311.1)". The record is from RNAcentral. Lineage: Eukaryota; Metazoa; Chordata; Aves; Passeriformes; Paridae.
CAAACCCCUCCCAGUCCCUCUCCCAUCCCCCCUCCCAACCCAAACCAGUCCAAACCAGUCCAAACCAGUCCGAACCAGUCCGAACCAGUAAGAACCAGUAUAAACCAGUAUAAACCAGUAUAAACCAGUAUAAACCAGCAGUGCUCACCGGCCGGCCCCUCCCCCCAGUGCAGCAGGUAGAGGCAGCAGAAGAAUCCCUCGUUCCCCGCGCACAGCAGGAACAGCAGCGGCUGGGGGCGGGGCCAGAGGGGGCGGGGUCACAGCGGGACACGCCCACUCCCACUCUGGGACUGGCGUCGCACCAGUUCAGACCAGUUUGGGACUGGGAUUGUUCCCGUUCAUCCCAGUUUGGCCCAGUUCCCUCCCAGUUCAAUCCCAGUCCAUCCCAGUUCAAUCCCAGUUCAAUCCCAGUUCAAUCCCAGUUUGGCCCAGUUCCCUUUUAACCCCUCCCAGUUCAUCCCAGUUCAGACCAGUUUGGGACUGGGAUUGUUCCCGUUCCUCCCAGUUUG